CUUUUAGUACAUUCAUAGAUUGCACCUGUUUCCUUCGCACAGAUUUUAAAAUGGCACGUCCAUUUCUAGACAAUCCUGUAGAUGAGGAGGCUGUAUUAAUUCACACGGCAUUAAAUAUAUACGCCACAAGUUAAUUUUUUGUGACAUCCGCAUGCAUAUUUAUUUGAGCUGUACUGUUUUUCUCAAGAGUCCAUAUAUGAUGGCUCUCAAGCCAGAAGUGUUAAAGGUAUAAAAAACAAAACAAAAAAAAAUUUGGAGUGAGCGCUCCGCACAUUGGUCUCGGGAAAAUAGUUGGAGUGAGCGCUCUUGUUGCUCGUGUUUUAGUAAAUAUCUUUUUGUGGAGGUAAGCUAGGUUAACGGGGAGGAGAAACAAACGGUAGCUCAUGCAAAUGUUUAAGGCAGUUUUACAAUGCUGGAACUUUGGUUGCGUAUGUCUUUUUACAAUGUCAUAAAGCUGGGAACUUCAAACGAGAAACGCAAGCCUUGUGUGGAGUCCUUAGUUUAUUUGUUAGCUGGCUGUCUAGCAGCACAUGGUAGACGCGUUGUGAGGACAGCACACCAUAACUUAUAUCAAUAAUCUUAUCCACCCAUACGUCAGACACAUCACCCAUCGUGUCGUGCUCUUACAUCUGAGCAGAUUCUUUGUGUUGCGUUAUGAUUUUUUGCAAACUGUAGUUUUCUUUAUAACAUUGCAGAUGCUGAGCACAUUAGCAAAGCCAAUGUAUGGAGAGUAGUUAGAAAAGUGUGCCUUGCCCUCAAGCGCUUUCCCGCAAAUCUUUAUUGUGUUUCCUGGCCACAAACUCCUCAGAGCCGUUAAAGAGGAGUUUCACAGGAUUGCAGGUAUGUGGUAUUUAAUUUGUGUCAGUGAGGCUAAUCUGAAAAAUGAUGAUCAGUUAAUAACAUCUUACUGUGACCUCUGGAAAUCAAGUAAUACAUGUGCAGGUACACUGACUACUCUUUGUAAUGGUCACUCUAACUGACGUAUCAUUUUUUACUGCACAUAUUAUCACGAACGUGAAGGCCAAGUGGCCCGGCUCUGGUCAUGACUCAUGAAUAUAUCGUAAGUCAACCCUACAUAACACUGCACUGCUGCACUGUGGUAAGUACAUGUUUGUCCUAUAGACUUAUUUCAAUGCAUGCACUACACACACUCACAAGAGCACUUCUAUGCAGCACGAAAUGUGAACUUUCUUAUAGGAGAGAUUGACGGCUUUCUGCUCGAGAUAGGGGUUAAUGCCAGCCAACACUACUGACCCCUCACCCAGAACCUGAAGCAGGCCCCCAGCAGCGCUUUAAUGUGGCACACUGCAGAACAAGAGCCCGGGUGGAAAUGACCAUAGGCCUGUUGAAAGCACGUCUUCAGUGCCUACGUCACCUCAGGGUAACAGCUGAGAGGCCUGUGACAUUAUUGGGGCAUGUGUUGUUCUCCACAAUAUUGUAAUUAUUAGAGGGGAGCAACACCCUGCCCUACAAACACAAGACCCUGAGGAAGACUCCUUCCAUUAUGGUAAUCUGCAGGGUGGAUGGACAUUUGCCGUAAUGUCCUAAUCCAUCAUCACCACCAAUAAAAGAAACUGAAUAAAUGCA
This is a long non-coding RNA of Betta splendens (Siamese fighting fish), 1587 nucleotides long. Lineage: Eukaryota; Metazoa; Chordata; Actinopteri; Anabantiformes; Osphronemidae. The record is from Ensembl.